This 468-nucleotide ribosomal RNA is filed under the name uncultured bacterium. RNAcentral's name for it is "partial 16S ribosomal RNA". It matches the Rfam family "Bacterial small subunit ribosomal RNA", at positions 28 to 507 of the family's 1533-position model. The record is from RNAcentral.
GACGAACGCUGGCGGCGUGCUUAACACAUGCAAGUCGAACGGAAAGGCCCUGCUUUUGUGGGGUGCUCGAGUGGCGAACGGGUGAGUAACACGUGAGUAACCUGCCCUUGACUUUGGGAUAACUUCAGGAAACUGGGGCUAAUACCGGAUAGGAGCUCCUGCUGCAUGGUGGGGGUUGGAAAGUUUCGGCGGUGGGGGAUGGACUCGCGGCUUAUCAGCUUGUUGGUGGGGUAGUGGCUUACCAAGGCUUUGACGGGUAGCCGGCCUGAGAGGGUGACCGGCCACAUUGGGACUGAGAUACGGCCCAGACUCCUACGGGAGGCAGCAGUGGGGAAUAUUGCACAAUGGGCGGAAGCCUGAUGCAGCAACGCCGCGUGCGGGAUGACGGCCUUCGGGUUGUAAACCGCUUUCGCCUGUGACGAAGCGUGAGUGACGGUAAUGGGUAAAGAAGCCCCGGCUAACUACGUG